Molecule: ribosomal RNA, 274 nt
Filed under: uncultured bacterium
Lineage: Bacteria
Description: partial 16S ribosomal RNA
Rfam family: Archaeal small subunit ribosomal RNA
Source: RNAcentral
AAACCAGCACCUCAAGUGGUCAGGAUGAUUAUUGGGCCUAAAGCAUCCGUAGCCGGCUCUGUAAGUUUUCGGUUAAAUCUGUAUGCUCAACAUACAGGCUGCCGGGAAUACUGCAGAACUAGGGAGUGGGAGAGGUAGACGGUACUCGGGAGGAAGUGGUAAAAUGCUUUGAUCUCUCGAUGACCACCUGUGGCGAAGGCGGUCUACCAGAACACGUCCGACGGUGAGGGAUGAAAGCUGGGGGAGCAAACCGGAUUAGAAACCCGAGUAGUCC